UAGGGAAUCUUCCACAAUGGACGCAAGUCUGAUGGAGCAACGCCGCGUGAGUGAAGAAGGUCUUCGGAUCGUAAAGCUCUGUUGUUGGUGAAGAAGGAUAGAGGCAGUAACUGGUCUUUAUUUGACGGUAAUCAACCAGAAAGUCACGGCUAACUACGUGCCAGCAGCCGCGGUAAUACGUAGGUGGCAAGCGUUGUCCGGAUUUAUUGGGCGUAAAGCGAGCGCAGGCGGAAUGAUAAGUCUGAUGUGAAAGCCCACGGCUCAACCGUGGAACUGCAUCGGAAACUGUCAUUCUUGAGUGCAGAAGAGGAGAGUGGAACUCCAUGUGUAGCGGUGGAAUGCGUAGAUAUAUGGAAGAACACCAGUGGCGAAGGCGGCUCUCUGGUCUGCAACUGACGCUGAGGCUCGAAAGCAUGGGUAGCGAACAGGAUUAGAUACCCUGGUAGUCCAUGCCGUAAACGAUGAGCGCUAGGUGUUGGGGACUUUCCGGUCCUCAGUGCCGCAGCAAACGCAUUAAGCGCUCCGCCUGGGGAGUACGACCGCGAGGUUGAAAC
RNAcentral lists this ribosomal RNA (554 nucleotides) under uncultured bacterium. Its description in RNAcentral is "partial 16S ribosomal RNA". It matches the Rfam family "Bacterial small subunit ribosomal RNA", at positions 355 to 900 of the family's 1533-position model. The record is from RNAcentral.